ACUAUAGUCUCUUUUGGUUUUUAAAAAUAGUAUGUUCAUUAACUAUUAUCAGUAUUUUAAACUUAAAAAUAAAUUAAGUAUCAUUAAAAUAAUAUCAAUGUAUAGUUGAUAAUAGCAUAGGCAUAUUAAAAUUACAUUACUAUUAUUAAUAUUUCUAUGCAUAAUAGGUAACUAAUUUAUCAUCAAACUGUUCAAUUACAUGAAAGUUGAUUAUUAAGAAUCACAUUUAAAAAAAAAAAAAUUGUAUUAUUUAUUUUCAUUUAAGCAAAUUAGGUAAAGCAAUAAUUAAUAGACAACUGAAACUAAUUGCUCUCUUUAAUAAGACUAAAUAAUCAUUCCAGACUUUUCAUUUUAUAAUAAUUAAUAAAAUGUGUAUAUAUAUAAAUUUUAAAGAAGUAAAUAAUAUGUAUUAAAAUGAUUGCAAACAUAAAAUGUAUUAAAAAGGAAUAAUAUCAUUAAUUUAAAAUCUGUUUUAUUAUUAUUGUUCAAACUAAAAUUAGGUAUAUCUAUCUAAUACAAAUACUACUAGUUUUUAUAUAUAUAAGAACAUAUUGAAUACAUAUUAAAAAAUACACUUUUAAUUGUUCUGAAUAAUUAUAAUUAGUUUUUAUUUUUGCAUUAUAAUAUUAUAAAUUGUAUUCAUAAACAUAUUUGUCAUUUGACAUUAUUAUCAAAGUGUUCAAAAGAUGGUAUACAUUUUUACUUUAAAUUUGUUAAAGCCUGUUUUAUAUUUUUAACAUCAUAAUAUUAUGUAUAAUAACUAGAGCUACUGUUGAGAUUUUAAAUUUAAAAUUGUAUUGUUAUAAAUUGGGUAAGUUGCGAAUAGAACAAGAAAUACUAUUUAUUUUAUUUAUUAAAUGUACUCUGAAUGAUAAAGUAUGUUUAAUUACAUAAUAGUUUAUUGUUUAUAAAUUUUCUCAAUAAACUAAGAAUGAGACUGUAAACUUUGAAAAACAAGUACAAUAGUUUCUUUAAUAUAUUAGAUACGUAAAAUUUAUAUAACACUUUGUUUAUAUACAUAUAAAUUUUUACAAAUUUUAAUUAAUAUGUAUUGUAUUUAUUUAAAAUUAUAAACAUUUGUCAAUGUUACUAUAGUAUAUGUAUCAUAUAAUACUACAUGUAUACACAUUAUACUUAUGUAGGUAUCAUACAUAUAUAUUUGUUUAUAUUUAUGAACGUAAUAUUACAGAAACAAUUACGAAAACUGUUAUAACUAAAAUAUGGUAUGUCAUACUUUAUAAUGAUAAAUAAAUAAAUAAAUAGUAUAAACUAAAAUAUUUUAAUUUCUACACACCAUAACAUGGACGGGUUGAAGAUCACUUCUAAGCGGUUUCAUAUUACUCGUAUUAGUACUUUAAAUUUAGAUCUACAAAUAUUAAAUAAAUGUUAAAGGGUUCCAAUAAUUUUUAUACUAUAAAUAAAAAUAUGUCAAUAGUAUUUUAUUUGAAAAAUGUAUUGAUAUUUUCAGUUUUUUGUUGGUUUCUGGGUUCCUUUGGUAACAUGAAAAAAAAGACUGCCUAGGAUAAUGAUGACGGGUACAGCUACUGUUAUAGAUGAUUUAAUGUAUACAUGUAAAUAACGAACGAUAAACCAUUGCUUGUAAAAAAAAAC
RNAcentral lists this long non-coding RNA (1611 nucleotides) under Cinara cedri. The record is from RNAcentral. Lineage: Eukaryota; Metazoa; Arthropoda; Insecta; Hemiptera; Aphididae.